GUCGUCGCGAGGCGGCGUGGGGAGGAAGCUGGAGGCAAAGUGCGGGGCCGACGUACAGGAACCGGAUACGAGGCCGCUGCGGGUGGGUAACCCGGCCGAAUACGGGGACGCCCGAUAGCCACCCGGAACGCGCGGCGGUAAAUCCGGCGGCGACCGCACGAAGGAUCAGUGU
Molecule: non-coding RNA, 172 nt
Filed under: Limimonas halophila
Lineage: Bacteria; Pseudomonadati; Pseudomonadota; Alphaproteobacteria; Rhodospirillales; Rhodovibrionaceae
Source: RNAcentral